This 1261-nucleotide ribosomal RNA is filed under the name Escherichia coli. RNAcentral describes it as "partial 23S ribosomal RNA". It matches the Rfam family "Bacterial large subunit ribosomal RNA", at positions 612 to 1858 of the family's 2925-position model. Lineage: Bacteria; Pseudomonadati; Pseudomonadota; Gammaproteobacteria; Enterobacterales; Enterobacteriaceae. The record is from RNAcentral.
AUAAUGGGUCAGCGACUUAUAUUCUGUAGCAAGGUUAACCGAAUAGGGGAGCCGAAGGGAAACCGAGUCUUAACUGGGCGUUAAGUUGCAGGGUAUAGACCCGAAACCCGGUGAUCUAGCCAUGGGCAGGUUGAAGGUUGGGUAACACUAACUGGAGGACCGAACCGACUAAUGUUGAAAAAUUAGCGGAUGACUUGUGGCUGGGGGUGAAAGGCCAAUCAAACCGGGAGAUAGCUGGUUCUCCCCGAAAGCUAUUUAGGUAGCGCCUCGUGAAUUCAUCUCCGGGGGUAGAGCACUGUUUCGGCAAGGGGGUCAUCCCGACUUACCAACCCGAUGCAAACUGCGAAUACCGGAGAAUGUUAUCACGGGAGACACACGGCGGGUGCUAACGUCCGUCGUGAAGAGGGAAACAACCCAGACCGCCAGCUAAGGUCCCAAAGUCAUGGUUAAGUGGGAAACGAUGUGGGAAGGCCCAGACAGCCAGGAUGUUGGCUUAGAAGCAGCCAUCAUUUAAAGAAAGCGUAAUAGCUCACUGGUCGAGUCGGCCUGCGCGGAAGAUGUAACGGGGCUAAACCAUGCACCGAAGCUGCGGCAGCGACGCUGAUGCGUUGUUGGGUAGGGGAGCGUUCUGUAAGCCUGCGAAGGUGUGCUGUGAGGCAUGCUGGAGGUAUCAGAAGUGCGAAUGCUGACAUAAGUAACGAUAAAGCGGGUGAAAAGCCCGCUCGCCGGAAGACCAAGGGUUCCUGUCCAACGUUAAUCGGGGCAGGGUGAGUCGACCCCUAAGGCGAGGCCGAAAGGCGUAGUCGAUGGGAAACAGGUUAAUAUUCCUGUACUUGGUGUUACUGCGAAGGGGGGACGGAGAAGGCUAUGUUGGCCGGGCGACGGUUGUCCCGGUUUAAGCGUGUAGGCUGGUUUUCCAGGCAAAUCCGGAAAAUCAAGGCUGAGGCGUGAUGACGAGGCACUACGGUGCUGAAGCAACAAAUGCCCUGCUUCCAGGAAAAGCCUCUAAGCAUCAGGUAACAUCAAAUCGUACCCCAAACCGACACAGGUGGUCAGGUAGAGAAUACCAAGGCGCUUGAGAGAACUCGGGUGAAGGAACUAGGCAAAAUGGUGCCGUAACUUCGGGAGAAGGCACGCUGAUAUGUAGGUGAAGUCCCUCGCGGAUGGAGCUGAAAUCAGUCGAAGAUACCAGCUGGCUGCAACUGUUUAUUAAAAACACAGCACUGUGCAAACACGAAAGUGGACGUAUACGGUGUGACGC